Molecule: ribosomal RNA, 253 nt
Filed under: uncultured bacterium
Lineage: Bacteria
Description: partial 16S ribosomal RNA
Rfam family: Bacterial small subunit ribosomal RNA
Source: RNAcentral
UACGGAGGGUGCAAGCGUUAAUCGGAAUUACUGGGCGUAAAGUGUGCGCAGGCGGCAGAGCAAGUCGAGUGUGAAAGCCCCGGGCUUAACUUGGGAAUUGCGCUCGAAACUACUUUGCUGGAGUGUGGCAGAGGAAGGUGGAACUCCACGUGUAGCGGUGAAAUGCGUAGAGAUGUGGAGGAACACCAAUGGCGAAGGCAGCCUUCUGGGCCAACACUGACGCUCAUGCACGAAAGCGUGGGGAGCAAACAGG